Molecule: long non-coding RNA, 1253 nt
Filed under: Mytilus galloprovincialis (Mediterranean mussel)
Lineage: Eukaryota; Metazoa; Mollusca; Bivalvia; Mytilida; Mytilidae
Source: RNAcentral
AAAAAGAAAAUUUACAUCGUGAUUAAAACUAGAAAAACAUUAAAUGGAACUAGACAAUCAUAGGACGACAGGCUAAUAGCUAAGGAUAGGACAAUUAAAAAAAACAAUGGCCUGUAUAUCUAGGUACUUUCAUACGGAAAACAAUCACGCCAGACGACAAUAGUACAUUUACUAUGAUUGAUUUAUUGAUGUCUCUGCUCUACGCCAAUCAGCGUAACACGGCUAGUAUAUCUGACAGGAGUCAGGAACAUCUUGUUCAGUGGUUGUCGUUUGUUGAUGUGGUUCAUACGUGUUUCUCGUGAAUCUUUUUGUAUAUGGAUUACACAGUUGGGUUACCAGUGUAAAUGGUUUUGGGGGUUUAUAGCUUGUUGCUCAAUGUGAUCCAAAGCUCCGUGUUGAAGGCCGUAAUUUGGCCUAUAAUGGUUCAUUUUUUACAAAUUGUGACUUGGAUGGAGAGAUCAUUACUACUCAUACCACAUCUUCUUAUAUCUAUAUAUACUAUUAAAAUAUUGUAAAACAUAUGACAAGUUGACAGGCAAUUGUAACCAAUGACAACCACUCGAUAAAAUGCCCUAUAUGUAGCUGAUAAAUUCAUUUGAAAAUACAUAGGUCUUUCAAACCCAUCCACGAAGGUCCAUGAGAUAUGUUGCGCAAUCAUUAAUUUUUAUUUGUUUUGAUAUUUUCAGUGUUCUUCAACUUCGUAAUUGAUUUGGUAUUUUACUGUUUAGCUUUAAAUAAUGUGUUUAAAGUUGACGAAACGCAGGUGGGUUUGACACAUUAAAACACAAGAAUGUUAUCUUGGGCACGGUUUAGUUUACAAGCACUGUGUCGUUUCAAAUGCUGGUUAUCAUUUUUGUCUCUAAAUGUAUCAUGCACUAGCCCAGUAAUGAAACGAUGAGAUCUAUCUUGUGUUGACAUGGAAUAUUAUAGGUUCUACCAUGUCCUUUAAUUUUCUUAAUUGACGCUUUAAGAUUGUUGUUAUGGACAGAUCAUUUAGAAAUGUUGCGGGAUUUGUAAACUUUACCUGGAAAAGUGAUGUAACAUUAGAACAUAUCCGUAAAAAUCAGUUAAAAAGGAUUUGACCGAGAAGAUAGGAACUAACAACGUCGUGCUUACUAUUUGGUCCAUAACUGUUACAUGUCCUUCAAAUCAAUAGAACUUUAUGGUUUCCAUAUACGGACUGUGUAAAUAGAAACUAUAAAUACUGUGGAUUCAUUAUUAUUCACUUGAUACCAAUUUUCAUGGUUUUCGUG